CAGUGUUCAGAUAAAUACAAAUCAAAAACAAAAGUAAACUAUACUAAACAAACAAAUAUCAGUAGCAUCUAUCCAACUAUAGUCACACAACCAUCCAAACGAGCAUGCUCAGGAAACCAACUGGUAAUUGUGCUUUAUUCCAUUUCCAGUUCAAAGCUACAUCAAUGUAGUCUUAGUGUGUGCCUGAAUUAAGGAAAAAAUGAAUUACCUAUGAGUAGGUAAACAGGAGAGAAGAACAACAACAAAUCCUCCAGCAGAUGCAACAAUGAAACCAAACUCGAAACCCAGGAGCAAACAAGGAGGUUUUUGUCAAGUGGACCAGGAUUCACA
This 330-nucleotide long non-coding RNA is filed under the name Nicotiana benthamiana. RNAcentral's name for it is "long non-coding RNA (NBEN_LNC006446)". Lineage: Eukaryota; Viridiplantae; Streptophyta; Magnoliopsida; Solanales; Solanaceae. The record is from RNAcentral.